AGAGUGCGUAAUAGCUCACUAGUCGAGAGGUCCUGCGCCGAAAAUGUCCGGGGCUAAAACACACCACCGAAGCUUAGGAAUAUACGCAAGUAUAUUGGUAGAGGAGCAUUCUUAAAGAGAAGAAGCUGUACUGGAAAGAGCAGUGGAUUUUUAAGAAGAGAGAAUGCCGGAAUGAGUAGCGAGAGGAAGGUGGGAAUCCUUCCGGCCGAAUAUCCAAGGUUUCCAGGGUAAAGCUGAUCUGCCCUGGGGAAGUCGGGACCUAAGGCGAGGCCGAGAGGCGUAGUCGAUGGACAACAGGUUGAGAUUCCUGUACCACAAUAAGACAGAACUGUGGGGACACGUGUGGAAAGCAUAAGCCGGGAAUGAAGAGACCGGCGCAAGCGAGGUAGGAGUUGUACUGGCAAAUCCGUACAAUGAUCUGAAGACGUGAUGCGGACCGAACAAGAGUAGGGAAGUAUGUGAGCCAUGCGUCGAGAAAAGCCGCUAUCGUUCUUAUUGUGCCCGUACCGUAAACCGACACAGGUGGAUGAGGAGAGGAUCCUAAGGCCGACGGGAGAAGCAUUGUCAAGGAACUCGGCAAAAUGACUCCGUAACUUCGGGAGAAGGAGUGCCAGGUAAGACUGGCCGCAGAGAAUUGGCCCAAGCAACUGUUUAGCAAAAACACAGGUCUAUGCAAAACCGAAAGGUGAAGUAUAUGGGCUGACGCCUGCCCGGUGCUGGAAGGUUAAGGGGAGAACUCAGGGGAAACCCAAAGGUUAGAACUGAAGCCCCAGUAAACGGCGGCCGUAACUAUAACGGUCCUAAGGUAGCGAAAUUCCUUGUCGGGUAAGUUCCGACCCGCACGAAAGGCGUAAUGAUUUGGGCGCUGUCUCAACAACACACUCGGUGAAAUUGAAGUACCAGUGAAGAUGCUGGUUACCUGCGCCAGGACGGAAAGACCCCAUGGAGCUUUACUCUAGUUUGGCAUUGGGACACGGUGCUUUACGUACAGGAUAGGUGGGAGGCGAAGAAGAAGGGACGCCAGUUUCUUUGGAGCCGACGUUGGGAUACCACCCUUAAAGUACUGGGUUUCUAACCUUUGACCCGUGAAACCGGGAAAGGGACACUGCCAGGCGGGGAGUUUGACUGGGGCGGUCGCCUCCGAAAGAGUAUCGGAGGCGCUCAAAGGUCUUCUCAGAAUGGACGGAAACCAUUCGCAGAGUGCAAAAGCAGAAGAAGGCUUGACUGUGACACCGACGGGUGGAACAGGUACGAAAGUAGGAUUUAGUGAUCCGGUGGCAAAAAGUGGGAUUGCCAUCGCUCAACGGAUAAAAGCUACCCUGGGGAUAACAGGCUU
Molecule: ribosomal RNA, 1336 nt
Filed under: mouse gut metagenome
Description: bacterial LSU rRNA
Rfam family: Bacterial large subunit ribosomal RNA
Source: RNAcentral